CCGGAAUGCAAGUGCGGAGGAAGACCCUAAAGGGUCUCGGGGCUUCUCCCGUUU
Molecule: transfer RNA, 54 nt
Filed under: Thecadactylus rapicauda
Lineage: Eukaryota; Metazoa; Chordata; Lepidosauria; Squamata; Phyllodactylidae
Description: partial tRNA-Cys
Source: RNAcentral